RNAcentral lists this ribosomal RNA (253 nucleotides) under uncultured bacterium. Its description in RNAcentral is "partial 16S ribosomal RNA". It matches the Rfam family "Bacterial small subunit ribosomal RNA", at positions 524 to 776 of the family's 1533-position model. The record is from RNAcentral.
UACGUAGGUGGCAAGCGUUGUCCGGAUUUAUUGGGUUUAAAGGGUGCGUAGGCGGUCUUAUAAGUCAGUGGUGAAAUACGGCAGCUCAACUGUCGAGGUGCCAUUGAUACUGUAGGACUUGAGUACAGACGAGGUAGGCGGAAUUGACGGUGUAGCGGUGAAAUGCUUAGAUAUCGUCAAGAACACCGAUAGCGAAGGCAGCUUACUAGGCUGUAACUGACGCUGAGGCACGAAAGUGUGGGGAGCGAACAGG